This is a long non-coding RNA of Orcinus orca (killer whale), 3436 nucleotides long. RefSeq lists it as uncharacterized. The transcript is spliced from 3 exons. The record is from RefSeq and is a predicted model, not a curated record. Lineage: Eukaryota; Metazoa; Chordata; Mammalia; Artiodactyla; Delphinidae.
UUUGGUUCGUGGUACCCUCCAGGUCUGAGGCGGGCGGCCGGGCGCUGUGUUCAUUGUGUGAGCGCGGUGUUUUUGGUUGCUUUGGCCUUCUUGCUACUCUCCGGUCCUUCCGCCAGCCUCGAGCCCUCACCACUCUCGGUAUCUGUGAUUGUCUUCAGGGAAAGAUUUCUACAAGUGAGAUUGCUAGAGUAAACGCUGCACUGCACAGCAUAUGGGAUCUUAGUUCCCUGACCAGGGAUCAAACCUGCAUUCUCUGCAUUGGAAGUGUGGAGUCUUAACCGCUGGACUACCAGGGAAGUCCCUCCUCUUCUUUAAUAUAAUAAUUAGUUGGUAGCAAAUCUCUAUUUUAAAAUUAUUUCUUAUCUGUAUAUAAAAUGUGGCAUUUUGUAUAAGAAAUAGGAAAAAAUAAGAAUGUAAUUAUAUGUAUUUGAUUAGUUUUGCAAUGAGAAAACAAAAGAAGGGUAAAUCAGAAACUAAUGAAAAUAGUUACAGGUUAGGGAUAGGUGGGAAAGGCUAGGAUGUGAGCCAGACUUCUCUGAAUAUACCUUUUCAUACAGUCUUCACUUCUGAGGCAUGUAAAUAUUCUAUGAAUUUAAAAAUUAAAAUUAAUAUUAACUCAAAAGAUAAAGAAGAGUCAAACCUUAAAAUUGAAUACAAAUAGCAAAAAUCAAUAUCAUAUUUAUAACACAGGCACAGAAAAAAUUAAUUAAAGUAACUUUUGAACACCGCGCUGAAUAAAAACAGAAAGAACUAAAAAGAAGUCUUGAACUUUCCCGAGUGGGUUUAUCAGAGAUGGCAAUUUGGUAUAGUGAUUCUGGAAGUAUUUUGUUGUGUUGUAGCAUAAGGCAAAUGAGUAACUGUACUGAUGCUUUUUAGAACCAGAGUUCUUUGUAGGAGAAGAGGGAUACAAAUAAAAAUGGGGAAGAUAAGGAAAAAUCCUAUGGUGUUGAUUCAAUCUGGAUGUAUCAAUAUUAUUUUUAAAUAUAUAUAUAUAAAUAUAUAGGUAUUUCCUUGCUUUUAAAGAUAUAUAUAGUAUGUUAUGUGUGUGUGUGUAUAUAUAUAUAUAUAUAUAUAUAUUUCCUUGCUUUUUCUGUUGAAUGGGCCUAUAAGCAGUGACACCCCAGUAACAGUGAGCACAGCUAGCACCAUUAUUCAGUUUCUAAAUACCAUUCCCCAGUGAAAGGCACCAGGACUCCUGGGAGAAAUGGUUAAUUCCAGGUCUGAGGCAGCUGUGUAGGGAAAGUACAGGAUGACUCAAUGUCCUCCCAAACAAGGAAUUACUCAAAGACAAAUGGGGACAUGUCAACAGAAUACAGAAGCUGGCUUAAAAGAGCUUCUCCUGGGCAAAUUUGGGACAGUUUGAGCAUUAAAAAGAAUUGGGACAGAAAUGGAUCAUAACAGUGUCAGUAACAACACAAAUUCCAGGAACUUAACUUCAUACACCUCCACCCCACCCACCCCAGAUAUUCUGACAAAUAGGUCUGGGGUCGGGUUUGAGAAUUUUACAUUUCUUUUUUUUUUUUUUACAUCUUUAUUGGAAUAUAAUUGCUUUACAAUGGUGUGUUAGUUUCUGCUUUAUAACAAAGUGAAUCAUUUAUACAUAUACAUAUGUUCCCAUAUCUCUUCCCUCUUGAGUCUCUCUGCCUUCCACCCUCCCUAUCCCACCCCUCCAGGUGGUCACAAAGCACCGAGCUGAUCUCCCUGUGCUAUGCGGCUGCUUCCUACUAGCUAUCUAUUUUACGUUUGGUAAAAUAGUGUAUAUAUGUCCAUGCCUCUCUCUUGCUUUGUCACAGCUCACCUUUCCCCCUCCCCAUAUCCUCAAGUCCAUUCUCUAGUAGGUCUGUGUCUUUAUUCCUGUCUUACCCCUAGGUUCUUCAUGAGAUUUUUUUUUUCUUAGAUUCCAUAUAUAUGUGUUAGCAUACGGUAUUUGUUUUUCUCUUUCUGACUUACUUCACUCUGUAUGAUAGUCUCUAGGUCCAUCCACCUCACUACAAAUAACUCAAUUUCAUUUCUUUUUAUGGCUGAGUAAUAUUCCAUUGUAUAUAUGUACCACAUCUUCUUUAUCCAUUCAUCCGAUGAUGGACAUUUAGGUUGUUUCCAUCUCCUGGCUAUUGUAGAUAGAGCUGCAAUGAACAUUUUGGUACAUGACUCUUUUUGAAUUAUGGUUUUCUCAGGGUAUAUGCCCAGUAGUGGGAUUGCUGGGUCAUAUGGUAGUUCUAUUUGUAGUUUUUUAAGGAACCUCCAUACUGUUCUCCAUAGUGGCUGUACCAAUUCACUUUCCCACCAGCAGUGCAAGAGUGUUCCCUUUUCUCCACACCUUCUCCAGCAUUUAUUGUUUCUAGAUUUUUUGAUGAUGGCCAUUCUGACUGGUGUGAGAUUAUAUCUCAUUGUAGUUUUGAUUUGCAUUUCUCUAGUGAUUAAUGAUGUUGAGCAUUCUUUCAUAUGUUUGUUGGCAGUCUGUAUAUCUUUGGAGAAAUGUCUAUUUAGGUCUUCUGCUCAUUUUUGGAUUGGGUUGUUUGUUUUUUUUGUUAUUGAGCUGCAUGAGCUGCUUGUAAAUUUUGGAGAUUAAUCCUUUGUCAGUUGCUUCAUUUGCAAACAUUUUCUCCCAUUCUGAGGGUUGUCUUUUGGUCUUCUUUAUGGUUUCCUUUGCUGUGCAAAAGCUUUGAAGUUUUAUUAGGUCCCAUUUGUUUAUUUUUGUUUUUAUUUCCGUUUCUCUAGGAGGUGGGUCAAAAAGGAUCUUGCUGUGAUUUAUGUCAUAGAGUGUUCUGCCUAUGUUUUACUCUAAGAGUUUGAUAGUUUCUGGCCUUACAUUUAGGUCUUUAAUCCAUUUUGAGCUUAUUUUUGUGUAUGGUGUUAGGGAGUGUUCUAAUCUCAUACUUUUACAUGUACCUGUCCAGUUUUCCCAGCACCACUUAUUGAAGAGGCUGUCCUUUCUCCACUGUACAUACCUGCCUCCUUUAUGAAAGAUAAGGUGACCAUAUGUGCAUGGGUUUAUCUCUGAGAAUUUACAUUUCUAAGCAGCUUGCAGGUGAGGUUGCUGCUGCUGAUCUAUGGACCUUGGUUUGAGUAGCACUGGAUUAUAAAAGUUUGAAUUCAAAACGUAUCUGUGAGUCUAGGGCUUCCCUGGUGGCGCAGUGGUUAAGAAUCCCCCUCCCAGUGCAGGGGACAUGGGUUCGAGCGCUGGUCCGGGAAGAUCCCACAUGCUGCGGAGCAACUAAGCCCGUGCACCACAACUACUGAGCCUGCGCUCUAGAGCCCGCGCGCCUAGAGCCCGCGCUCCGCAACAAGAGAAGCCACCUCAAUGAGAAGCCCGCGACACAACGAAGAGUAGCGCCUGCUCGUGGCAACUAGAGAAAAGCCCGCGCACAGUAAUGACCCAAUGCAGCCAAAAGUAAAUAAACUAAAUAAAUAAAUUUAUAAAGAAAAAAGUAUCUGU